RNAcentral lists this long non-coding RNA (1406 nucleotides) under Equus caballus (horse). RNAcentral describes it as "lncRNA (ENSECAG00000049033.1)". The record is from RNAcentral. Lineage: Eukaryota; Metazoa; Chordata; Mammalia; Perissodactyla; Equidae.
CACCUUCCAAUGUGGCAGAAUCUAUUAGAAAGCACAAAAGAUAUUUCAAAGAGAUUUUUUUUCUUUUUUGAGGAAGGUUAGCCCUGAGCUGACAUCUGCCACCAAUCCUCCUCUUUUUUGCUGAGGAAGACUGGCCCUGAGCUACCAUCCAUGCCCAUCCUCCUCUACUUUAUAUGUGGGACGCCCGCCACAGCAUGGCUUGACAAGUGGUGCAUAGGUCCGCACCUGGGAUCUGAACCUGCGAACCCCAGGCCACCGAAGUGGAACGUGUGAACUUAACCACUGCACCACUGGACCAGCCCGCAAAGAGUUUUAAAUAAGAUGAGAAAAGUGUCCUCUCUUCACACUUGACUCCUCAGGGAGAAAGGAUGUGUGUGCCAGCUCAAGAGGACGUGAAGGUAUUUGAAUCUAGACGAACGGCUCCAGUCAUCCAGAAACAGCUCCCUUUAGUGGCCAAUUCAGUGCGUAACUAAUUAACCAGAACUGGUGGGAAUUAAUCUGGAAUUUCCCAAGGACUGGGUGGAGUGUUUUAGGAUUAGCAUCUCUUCCUGGAAACUAAGGAUUAACUACCAACCUGCUGUGCUCACCUUGUGACCACUGACCUGCUGACCACUGAUCUACAGUGCCAGCUAAGUAUCUCGUGACAAUUGUAAAAGGGACAUUCCUAUCAUAUGUGAUGUAUGCUCUUUGUUCCAAGACUAGGUAUAAACACUCUGUGUACCCUACUUCUUUGGCGCCCUUCCUUCCUUGGAGAAGGAAGGCCCCAGGCUAGUCCUCAGAUCUGGCUUAUAAUAAACUCACUCCAAUUUUAAUUUAUAUUGAUUAUGGAUUAUUUACAUCCACAUUUUGUAUAUCAUACAGUUACGCCAGGCCACAGAUGAUGGCGUCCAACCCAAUUCAUUGACAGGCUAGCCACCAAUCAGAUGCUCUCUCAAAAUGUGCAGUAAGGCCUUGCUACUCAAAGUGUGAUACCCUGCAGCAUCAGGGGAUCACCUGGGAUUCUAGGGACCUCCAUAGACCCACUGAACUGGAACCUGCAGUCUCACAAUUUCCUGGGUGAUUCACAUGCAGAUGAAUGUCUGAGAAGUGCUGCCUUAAGAGACGUAGAUAUCUUGGAAAGUCAGUACAUGUGAAUGCUUUAACCAUACCCAGAAUUGGUGGUCAUUUUUCAUCAUACAAAGUUCUGAUGGAUUCGUAAAGCAAGCAAGAAAGCCUAUCUGCUGAUAGAAGUUGAGUAUUUCAGAAGAUAAGAAGAAAGAAGCAGAAAUUAAAUACAUGGAGACACAGAGGAGGAAGCCUGGGUUCUUGAAUUUUCUAUAGCAAGCUCCCGCAGAGCAGGCUUUCCUUCAUCUUUUCAUCUUGGUUGUCCAGGAGAUUUCUGGUUAGAUCCUUACAAUGAACCCCUC